Molecule: non-coding RNA, 28 nt
Filed under: Mus musculus (house mouse)
Lineage: Eukaryota; Metazoa; Chordata; Mammalia; Rodentia; Muridae
Source: RNAcentral
AAGCACAGCUUGUGAAGCUCUGUCUGUC